ACACAGGUGACAGAAAAAAAAUAUUAUCAUUAGAACAAACUCCAUUCAACAGUUAGUAAACAAGUUGUUGGGAAAAUGAAAGAUGAAUUAUCUGGCAACUGAUCAUGAUGUAUCCUCCAUAACAUCUACGGCAGACAAAUUAACCAUGAUUCAAACUGCCACCCAAACCAUGGGAACCAUGACAGAAACAAUGACCUUUACAGUAUCUGAAGCACAGGUGUCUUCUCCAAAGGCAGCAGACAAGACUGCUACGUAUACUUAUGUUCAUUGCUAUCGCCCUGAUUGUCUGCUGUUACAGAUGCUUUAAAGCCAGAGCCCGCAAUUCAUCAAAGAAAACAAACCUGUUUGAACUUUCAUCUGACAUACAUUUUGAAGUACCUGAAGCCAUUAAGAUAGAUUAAUUUUUAGAAUUUAAUUUUUUGAAUAUUCCAACAUUUUCUAAGUCAUGUGGAAGUCAUUAUUCAGAAUUUCAAAUAUAUUGAUUCUUACAGGUUACUUUCAGUAUAUGAUUUUGCUGACUCUGCUUAUAUUACAUCAACUGUUUCCAGAAAAUGAAUUUGUCAUUCAAUUAAACCAACUUGUAAGGCGUAUACCAGCUAUAGCUCGUGGCAUUAACGGGAACAGACAAAGUAAUCAACCAGAACCUCAUAGUACGGCGGCUUUGUGAAAAAUUGUGCACAUCCUGCUACAAGCAUGAAAUUUGGCAUAGACCUUCCUCAACUAUUACUCUUUUAUAUCAGAUAGGGAGGCAUUUGAA
Long non-coding RNA from Mytilus californianus (California mussel), 757 nucleotides. RefSeq lists it as uncharacterized. The record is from RefSeq and is a predicted model, not a curated record. The transcript has 5 exons. NCBI's taxonomy places the organism in Eukaryota, Metazoa, Mollusca, Bivalvia, Mytilida, Mytilidae.